This 71-nucleotide transfer RNA is filed under the name Candidatus Parcubacteria bacterium. Its description in RNAcentral is "tRNA-Gly". It matches the Rfam family "tRNA". Rfam says of the family: Transfer RNA (tRNA) molecules are approximately 80 nucleotides in length. Their secondary structure includes four short double-helical elements and three loops (D, anti-codon, and T loops). The record is from RNAcentral. Lineage: Bacteria; Candidatus Parcubacteria.
GCGAGUGUGGUUUAGUGGUAGAACUACUGCCUUCCAAGCAGUGGGCGCGGGUUCGAUUCCCGCCACUCGCA